ACAUCCAGAGAACUUAGCAGAGAUGCUUUGGUGCCUUCGGGAACUCUGAGACAGGUGCUGCAUGGCUGUCGUCAGCUCGUGUUGUGAAAUGUUGGGUUAAGUCCCGNAACGAGCGCAACCCUUAUCCUUUGUUGCCAGCGGCUCGGCCGGGAACUCAAAGGAGACUGCCGGUGAUAAACCGGAGGAAGGUGGGGAUGACGUCAAGUCAUCAUGGCCCUUACGGCCAGGGCUACACACGUGCUACAAUGGCGCAUACAAAGAGAAGCGACCUCGCGAGAGCAAGCGGACCUCAUAAAGUGCGUCGUAGUCCGGAUUGGAGUCCGCAACUCGACUCCAUGAAGUCGGAAUCGCUAGUAAUCGUAGAUCAGAAUGCUACGGUGAAUACGUUCCCGGGCCUUGUACACACCGCCCGUCACACCAUGGGAGUGGGUUGCAAAAGAAGUAGGUAGCUUAACCUUCGGGAGGGCGCUUACCACUUUGUGAUUCAUGACUGGGGUGAAGUCGUAACAAGGUAAGCGUAGCGAG
Molecule: ribosomal RNA, 525 nt
Filed under: uncultured bacterium
Lineage: Bacteria
Description: bacterial SSU rRNA
Rfam family: Bacterial small subunit ribosomal RNA
Source: RNAcentral